Molecule: long non-coding RNA, 653 nt
Organism: Caretta caretta (loggerhead turtle)
Lineage: Eukaryota; Metazoa; Chordata; Testudines; Cheloniidae
Source: RefSeq, a predicted model, not a curated record
CCACAUUUUCUUUUCUUUUUUUUUUUUUCUUUCCAAUGAUUAUUUGGUAAGGUACCUGAAGUGCACUUUGGGGGAAGAGAUGGCUAAGGAACAGGAGUGGCUGUAGUGGUUUAUGAGCGAUAGCUCACAAGGUGUGCCCAGCAGAGAGACACACAGAGAGAGUGAUAAAACUGACUGGUGAAGAUGACUGGAGAGAAGCUGCUGAAGGAUCUAGACAAGAACUACACAGCAUAGGAGGCAUGAAAUAUGAGACCAACGUAGCCCUGAACAGCUCUCUGUACCAUUAGUUCAUACUAGUAGGACUUUCAUUAAACCGUGUUAAAAAUGGGUGUUCUUUUUAGAAGCAAAACCAAACUCUUGUGAGCAGUUUUCCAAACACACAUGUUUCUGUGAUGACAAUGAAAUUACAAUCCACAUUUUUGUUAGCACUUUUCUAACAGAGAGAUCGGUGUGUGUGCUGCAUUUGAUUAGGAAGUAUAAUACCUACCAAUGUAUAAUACCUACCAAUGUGUUUCUUCCAUUUUGAUUAAAUAAAACCUUUCUUUCCUUAAUUAGUUAAUGUUUGUUACUUGAGAAAGAGGAGUGACGGAAAUUCAGAUUAAUACAUGAUAAUUAAUAAAUAACCAUGAAUAAAACUGGAUUUUUAAACUUUA